UAGUCCACGCCGUAAACGAUGGUCACUAGUUGUUGGGGUCUUGUACCUCAGUGAUUAAGAGAAAUUGAUAAGUGACCCACCUGGGGAGUACGAUCGCAAGAUUGAAACUCAAAGGAAUUGACGGGGGCCCGCACAAGCGGUGGAGCAUGUGGUUUAAUUCGAUGAUACGCGAGGAACCUUACCAGGGCUUAAAUGUAAGUUGCAUGAUUUAGAGAUAGAUCUUUCUUCGGACUACUUACAAGGUGCUGCAUGGUUGUCGUCAGCUCGUGCCGUGAGGUGUCAGGUUAAGUCCUAUAACGAGCGCAACCCCUACCGUUAGUUGCCAGCAUGUUAUGAUGGGGACUCUAGCGGGACUGCCGGUGCAAACCGAGAGGAAGGUGGGGAUGACGUCAAAUCAUCACGGCCCUUACGUCCUGGGCUACACACGUGCUACGAUGGCGGUAACAGAGGGCCGCGACAUCGCAAGAUGUAGCUAAUCCCUAAAAACCGUCUCAGUUCGGAUUGUUCU
RNAcentral lists this ribosomal RNA (508 nucleotides) under uncultured bacterium. RNAcentral describes it as "bacterial SSU rRNA". It matches the Rfam family "Bacterial small subunit ribosomal RNA", at positions 791 to 1304 of the family's 1533-position model. The record is from RNAcentral.